Molecule: long non-coding RNA, 341 nt
Organism: Patella vulgata (common limpet)
Lineage: Eukaryota; Metazoa; Mollusca; Gastropoda; Patellidae
Exons: 2
Source: RefSeq, a predicted model, not a curated record
UGUCUUUAUUAUUAUUUUGUUACGGAAAAGGUAUAAAUCAGAGAUUAAACUAGACAAAGAUAAUACACCUUUCUCAUUCACGUUUACUGCAACAUUCUACUACCAGCUGCCAAUAUGAGGAAUCUUCAGGUUAGUGUUUGUGUGAUUAUGAUCACUACUGUGUUGUCCAAGUCUGUGGAUACCCUUCACAGAGAAAGACGCCAGACCAACUACCCUGGAUAUGUGGCGGGUAACCCUGCAGCCCAGCAAGCACCUCAGUACGCUUUAUUUAAUUAUGCUUCAAGCGGUAAUGCAGCAGCUGUAAAUGCACAAGCGAACAAUGCCGGUGGUGGAAAACAAAA